RNAcentral lists this ribosomal RNA (484 nucleotides) under uncultured bacterium. Its description in RNAcentral is "partial 16S ribosomal RNA". It matches the Rfam family "Bacterial small subunit ribosomal RNA", at positions 30 to 507 of the family's 1533-position model. The record is from RNAcentral.
AUUGAACGCUAGCGGGAUGCUUUACACAUGCAAGUCGAACGGCAGCGCGGACUUCGGUCUGGCGGCGAGUGGCGAACGGGUGAGUAAUGUAUCGGAACGUGCCCAGUAGCGGGGGAUAACUACGCGAAAGCGUAGCUAAUACCGCAUACGCCCUACGGGGGAAAGCAGGGGAUCGUAAGACCUUGCACUAUUGGAGCGGCCGAUAUCGGAUUAGCUAGUUGGUGAGGUAACGGCUCACCAAGGCGACGAUCCGUAGCUGGUUUGAGAGGACGACCAGCCACACUGGGACUGAGACACGGCCCAGACUCCUACGGGAGGCAGCAGUGGGGAAUUUUGGACAAUGGGGGCAACCCUGAUCCAGCCAUCCCGCGUGUGCGAUGAAGGCCUUCGGGUUGUAAAGCACUUUUGGCAGGAAAGAAACGUCGCGGGCUAAUACCCCGUGGAACUGACGGUACCUGUAGAAUAAGCACCGGCUAACUACGUG